This 411-nucleotide ribosomal RNA is filed under the name uncultured Desulfobulbus sp. Its description in RNAcentral is "bacterial SSU rRNA". It matches the Rfam family "Bacterial small subunit ribosomal RNA", at positions 977 to 1382 of the family's 1533-position model. The record is from RNAcentral. Lineage: Bacteria; Pseudomonadati; Thermodesulfobacteriota; Desulfobulbia; Desulfobulbales; Desulfobulbaceae.
GGUCUUGACAUCCCGGAGACCCUUAGGAAACUAGGGGUGCUUCCAUCUGGAAGAAUCUGGAGACAGGUGCUGCAUGGCUGUCGUCAGCUCGUGUCGUGAGAUGUUGGGUUAAGUCCCGCAACGAGCGCAACCCUUGUCCUUAGUUACCAGCACGUUAUGGUGGGCACUCUAAAGGGACUGCCGGUGUUAAACCGGAGGAAGGUGGGGAUGACGUCAAGUCCUCAUGGCCUUUAUGACCAGGGCUACACACGUACUACAAUGGCCGAUACAAAGGGCAGCGACACUGCGAGGUGAAGCCAAUCCCGUAAAAUCGGUCUCAGUCCGGAUUGGAGUCUGCAACUCGACUCCAUGAAGUUGGAAUCGCUAGUAAUCGUGGAUCAGCAUGCCACGGUGAAUACGUUCCCGGGCCUU